GCUGCCGCCCAGCAGUAGACGCUGUCUCAGCCAGGCUAGCCGCAGUUCCUGUGGUGUGUGAGUGAGCCCGGGCCUGGUCCCUUCUCACGCCGCCGCCAUAGGCUGCACGUUGAGCGCCGAAGACAAGGCGGCGGUGGAGCGGAGCAAGAUGAUCGACCGCAAUUUGCGGGAGGACGGGGAGAAAGCGGCCAAAGAAGUGAAGCUGCUGCUUCUCGGUGCUGCAGAAUCUGGUAAAAGCACCAUUGUGAAACAAAUGAAAAUCAUUCAUGAGGAUGGCUAGUCAGAGGAAGAAUGUAAACAAUAUAAAGUAGUUGUCUACAGCAAUACUAUACAGUCCAUCAUUGCAAUCAUAAGAGCCAUGGGCCGGCUAAAGAUUGACUUUGGGGAAGCUGCCAGAGCAGAUGAUGCCCGGCAAUUAUUUGUUUUAGCUGGCAGUGCUGAAGAAGGAAUCAUGACUCCAGAACUAGCGGGAGUGAUUAAACGGUUAUGGCGAGAUGGUGGGGUGCAAGCUUGCUUCAGCAGAUCCAGGGAAUAUCAACUCAAUGAUUCUGCUUGAUAUUACCUAAAUGAUUUGGACAGAAUAUCCCAAACCGACUACAUUCCAACUCAGCAAGAUGUUCUUCGGACAAGAGUGAAGACCACCGGCAUUGUGGAAACACAUUUUACCUUCAAAGACCUAUACUUCAAGAUGUUUGAUGUGGGUGGCCAAAGAUUAGAACGAAAAAAGUGGAUUCACUGUUUUGAGGGAGCGACAGCAAUUAUCUUCUGUGUGGCCCUCAGUGAUUAUGACCUUCUUCUGGCUGAGGAUGAAGAGAUGAACCGAAUGCAUGAAAGCAUGAAACUCUUUGACAGCAUUUGUAAUAACAAAUGGUUUACAGACACUUCAAUCAUUCUUUUCCUUAAUAAGAAA
Molecule: RNA transcript, 910 nt
Organism: Propithecus coquereli (Coquerel's sifaka)
Lineage: Eukaryota; Metazoa; Chordata; Mammalia; Primates; Indriidae
Gene name: guanine nucleotide-binding protein G(k) subunit alpha pseudogene
Exons: 1
Source: RefSeq, a predicted model, not a curated record